Long non-coding RNA from Drosophila sulfurigaster albostrigata, 1219 nucleotides. RefSeq lists it as uncharacterized. NCBI's taxonomy places the organism in Eukaryota, Metazoa, Arthropoda, Insecta, Diptera, Drosophilidae. The record is from RefSeq and is a predicted model, not a curated record. The transcript is spliced from 2 exons.
CGCACCCUAACUUAGUCAUCUCACUAUCUGCACUUGCUUAUCACUGUCUUCGCAAAGCUCUUGCAAAAGCUCGGCUUACCAUGCGGUGCAGUGGAGUACAGUCGAAAGUGAAGCGAGCUUAGCAUUAGAGAAAAAGCAAUUAGUCAAAGCAGACGUAUUUAUUGUCUGGCGGCCACCGAAUUUUAUAAUCCCACGUGAAUCUGCGAAUUAUAUAAUCUGGCAGUGGAAAAAUACCAGAUCGACCCCAAGUGAGAAUAUAUGUGAGGAUAGACGUCUAUAUAUAAAUAAAUAUAUAAACAGUGCAGUGAUAAAUUUCAUAAUUAAUACAGGCAUAGAAUCCCCAGAAAUUCGGCUCAUCGAGCUCGGCACUGGCGGAUGGUAGCCUCUGUGGGCCACUAAUGGUCCAUUCAACCUCUAUUACAACUAUAGAGCGCCGUGUGGCCCUAGUGAACAACUAUAUAUUGGGUGCACAAAUUUGGUCGGAGAUCACAACCAGAUUGGCUGCCCAACGGAGUACCAAAAGACUGUGACUCUGACCGUCCCCGACAUACACCCGAGAUCACGGCCAAGUUUGAUUUGAAUAUUAGCGGAGCACAUACAGGCACAUACGCCUGAAAACCAAGAAUACACUGGAUGAGUAGUGCAUAGUACAACAACAGUACCACAAUCCACAAUGCAACAACAAUAAGUUCAUUUAUAUUGUAUCAAUCUUUCUGCAUGCUGCUAUGAUUUGCUGAGAAGUUUCACGAAUUACAUCGUCUGUAUCUUCUAGUUAUUUUGUAUUAAAUUUGUAAACGUAAAAUUAAUAAUUCUAAUGAAAAAUUGUUGAGGCAUACUCGUGGAUACGACAAAAAAAUGAAAGAAUUCUAAUUUUGGUACAUUUAUAUUAAUUAUCUGUAUAUUUUCUCAUAUAGUAUUAUAUCAUUAUCAACACAACAUUAUCAUCGUCACUCAUCUUCGUCAUGGUACCACGACCGUAAGAAAAACGACAUCUGAGUAAGUUAACUUAAACAAGUAGAAGUUACAAAAGGUAACUUUAAUGACACAAAUGAUUAUAUAAAUGUGCCUAAUUGUUAAUCAAAUGAAAUUAUCACGAGUACGUCUCAGACUUGAAUUAAUUUUGUAAAUAUUAGUAAUCAUAUCACAUAUGUAUGUAACAAACGGAGUAUCAUGAAUUCUUUAUUAAUUAAAAUUUCACAUGAAGUGAUUAAUGAAAUAA